This 253-nucleotide ribosomal RNA is filed under the name uncultured bacterium. Its description in RNAcentral is "partial 16S ribosomal RNA". It matches the Rfam family "Bacterial small subunit ribosomal RNA", at positions 524 to 776 of the family's 1533-position model. The record is from RNAcentral.
UACGUAGGGGGCAAGCGUUGUCCGGAAUCAUUGGGCGUAAAGCGCGUGUAGGCGGCCCGGUAAGUCCGCUGUGAAAGUCGGGGGCUCAACCCUCGAAUGCCGGUGGAUACUGUCGGGCUAGAGUGCGGAAGAGGCGAGUGGAAUUCCUGGUGUAGCGGUGAAAUGCGCAGAUAUCAGGAGGAACACCAAUGGCGAAGGCAGCACUCUGGGACGUGACUGACGCUGAGACGCGAAAGCGUGGGGAGCAAACAGG